GUCAACUACCUCUUCCUUUAGGAAGGGGCUUGGGAAAACUCAAGCUUGGUUGACUAGAGGGCAUUUAUGCAGAAGUUAGAAGAAAGAAAUACAUACACACCUACAAUUGUUCCGCAAGAUUGUAGCAACUGUGGUCUGCCAUUAAACAGUUCUGAGGGUAGGAACAGUGUGUCAGACUUAAAAACGUCUUCUAACAACCUCGAUGCGGCACUAAC
This is a non-coding RNA of Candidatus Woesearchaeota archaeon CG1_02_33_12, 215 nucleotides long. The record is from Rfam. Lineage: Archaea; Nanobdellati; Candidatus Woesearchaeota.